RNAcentral lists this unclassified non-coding RNA (423 nucleotides) under fungal sp. RNAcentral describes it as "partial internal transcribed spacer region". The stretch from base 1 to 46 matches the Rfam family "Eukaryotic small subunit ribosomal RNA", at positions 1786 to 1831 of the family's 1831-position model. Lineage: Eukaryota; Fungi. The record is from RNAcentral.
AAGUCGUAACAAGGUUUCCGUAGGUGAACCUGCGGAAGGAUCAUUAACACGUAUCCACGUAUCAACCAACUGUGAACUUGUUCUCACCUCUCCCUCACACGACAUGAAUUGGAAGGAAGUCAGAGAUUUUAUGAUAGGAAUCACGUAUCACUACCUGAUUCAAUCUCUCUCUCCCUAUGGAUUACCGCCUUACCGCGGUCGAUCGACAAUUGUAGUCAGCGUGAGGCUUACCCUUCUGCUAUCGACUCGUACCAUCAUAUCGAUCGAUAGUGGGCACACUACACCUAUCUCACCCCUAUUUUGCUAGUUGACUUUAUUAUGUUAUCUCUGCCUGACUGGACUCUACGUCCUAUCAGACUGUGGAUACACGUUACUUAAUUGAACGUUAAAUUACAACUCUUAGCAAUGGAUAUCUUGGUUCUC